GACGAACGCUGGCGGCAUGCCUAAUACAUGCAAGUCGAGCGAACAGAUGAAGUGCUUGCACUUCUGACGUUAGCGGCGAACGGGUGAGUAACACGUAAGGAAUCUACCUAUAAGCGGGGGAUAACAUUCGGAAACGGGUGCUAAUACCGCAUAAUAUCUUCUUCCGCAUGGAAGAAGAUUGAAAGACGGCCCUGCUGUCACUUAUAGAUGACCUUGCGGUGCAUUAGUUAGUUGGCGGGGUAAUGGCCUACCAAGACGAUGAUGCAUAGCCGACCUGAGAGGGUGAUCGGCCACAUUGGGACUGAGACACGGCCCAAACUCCUACGGGAGGCAGCAGUAGGGAAUCUUCCGCAAUGGGCGAAAGCCUGACGGAGCAAUGCCGCGUGAGUGAAGAAGGCCUUCGGGUCGUAAAACCCUGUUAUAAGAGAAGAACAAAUUGUAGAGUAACUGCUACAGUCUUGACGGUAUCUUAUCAGAAAGCCACGGCUAACUACGUGCCAGCAGCCGCAGUAA
RNAcentral lists this ribosomal RNA (513 nucleotides) under uncultured bacterium. RNAcentral describes it as "partial 16S ribosomal RNA". It matches the Rfam family "Bacterial small subunit ribosomal RNA", at positions 28 to 523 of the family's 1533-position model. The record is from RNAcentral.